AGCAGCCGCGGUAAUUCCAGCUCCAAUAGCGUAUAUUAAAGUUGUUGCAGUUAAAAAGCUCGUAGUUGAAUUUCGGGGCCAGUAGGUUGGUCGUGCCACUGGUAUGCACUGGCCUUACUGGUCCCUCCUUCUUGUAGAACCGUGAUGGCAUUAAUUUGUUGUUGCGGGGAAACAGGACUGUUACUUUGAAAAAAUUAGAGUGCUUAAAGCAGGCUCGCGCUUGAAUACAUUAGCAUGGAAUAACGGAAUAGGACGAUCGAACCUAUUUUGUUGGUUUCUAGGAUCGACGUAAUGAUUAAUAGGGAUAGUUGGGGGCAUUAGUAUUCAAUUGUCAGAGGUGAAAUUCUUGGAUUUAUUGAAGACUAACUACUGCGAAAGCAUUUGCCAAGGAUGUUUUCAUUAAUCAAGAACGAAAGUUAGGGGAUCGAAGACGAUCAGAUACCGUCGUAGUCUUAACCAUAAACUAUGCCGACUAGGGAUCGGAUGAAGUUAAUUUUUUAAUGACUCAUUCGGCGCCUUACG
This 522-nucleotide ribosomal RNA is filed under the name uncultured Glomus. Its description in RNAcentral is "SSU rRNA". It matches the Rfam family "Eukaryotic small subunit ribosomal RNA", at positions 569 to 1092 of the family's 1831-position model. Lineage: Eukaryota; Fungi; Glomeromycota; Glomeromycetes; Glomerales; Glomeraceae. The record is from RNAcentral.